Molecule: ribosomal RNA, 883 nt
Filed under: uncultured bacterium
Lineage: Bacteria
Description: bacterial SSU rRNA
Rfam family: Bacterial small subunit ribosomal RNA
Source: RNAcentral
GUUUGAUCAUGGCUCAGAUUGAACGCUGGCGGCAUGCCUUACACAUGCAAGUCGAACGGCAGCACGGGUGCUUGCACCUGGUGGCGAGUGGCGAACGGGUGAGUAAUACAUCGGAACGUACCUUAUCGUGGGGGAUAACGCAGCGAAAGCUGUGCUAAUACCGCAUACGCCCUGAGGGGGAAAGCGGGGGAUCGAAAGACCUCGCGCGAUUAGAGCGGCCGAUGCCUGAUUAGCUUGUUGGUGGGGUAAAAGCCCACCAAGGCGACGAUCAGUAGCUGGUCUGAGAGGACGAUCAGCCACACUGGGACUGAGACACGGCCCAGACUCCUACGGGAGGCAGCAGUGGGGAAUUUUGGACAAUGGGGGAAACCCUGAUCCAGCAAUGCCGCGUGAGUGAAGAAGGCCUUCGGGUUGUAAAGCUCUUUUGUCAGGGAAGAAACACCGGCUCUAACACAGUCCGGGAAUGACGGUACCUGAAGAAUAAGCACCCGGCUAACUACGUGCCAGCAGCCGCGGUAAUACGUAGGGUGCGAGCGUUAAUCGGAAUUACUGGGCGUAAAGCGUGCGCAGGCGGUUAUACAAGACAGGCGUGAAAUCCCCGGGGCUUAACCUGGGAAUGGCGCCUGUGACUGUAUAGCUAGAGUGUGUCAGAAGGGGGUAGAAUUCCACCGUGUAGCAGUGAAAAUGCGUAGAUAUGUGGGAGGAAUACCCAAUGGCGAAAGCAGCCCCCCUGGGAUAACACUGGACGCUUCAUGCAACGAAAGCGUGGGGGAGCAAACAGGAUUAGAUACCCUGGUAGUCCACGCCCCUAAACGAUGCUGACUAGUUGUUCGGGAUUUACAUCCCUGAGNAAACGUAGCUAACGCCGUGAAAGUCAGCCGCC